Molecule: ribosomal RNA, 492 nt
Filed under: uncultured bacterium
Lineage: Bacteria
Description: partial 16S ribosomal RNA
Rfam family: Bacterial small subunit ribosomal RNA
Source: RNAcentral
AGUGAACGCUGGCGGUAGGCCUAACACAUGCAAGUCGAACGGCAGCACAGUAAGAGCUUGCUCUUACGGGUGGCGAGUGGCGGACGGGUGAGGAAUACAUCGGAAUCUACUUUUUCGUGGGGGAUAACGUAGGGAAACUUACGCUAAUACCGCAUACGACCUACGGGUGAAAGCAGGGGAUCUUCGGACCUUGCGCGAUUGAAUGAGCCGAUGUCGGAUUAGCUAGUUGGCGGGGUAAAGGCCCACCAAGGCGACGAUCCGUAGCUGGUCUGAGAGGGUGAUCAGCCACACUGGAACUGAGACACGGUCCAGACUCCUACGGGAGGCAGCAGUGGGGAAUAUUGGACGAUGGGCGCAAGCCUGAUCCAGCCAUACCGCGUGGGUGAAGAAGGCCUUCGGGUUGUAAAGCCCUUUUGUUGGGAAAGAAAAGCAGCAGGUUAAUACCCCGCUGUUCUGACGGUACCCAAAGAAUAAGCACCGGCUAACUUCGUG